GUAAUUGUGACGGCUAACAUACAAGUGCUUUUAAGCAAGCUUUAGAUUUGUCGUCCGUAGAAGUCUUUCUCUCUUUUUAUAAGCGGACAAACGUGUGUUGGGUGCGAAAGCCAAAUUGGCUUGCUUUUAUUAUCCUGCAGAAAGGGAGAUAGCAAAGUGUGACGAUUCCGUGCAAUUAAAGCUGCUUUUGUGGAUGUCUCAAGUCCAGACAAAUGGUCUCGGAUGCAAGCGGAAAACACUCUCUCUCUCACACACACACACACACACACAUAUGUUAACAGCCACAGAUGGUUAUUGCAGGCAUAACGCCUGCUGCACGCCGAAUUAACGGCAGUUGAAUGUGCAGUUACAUGUAUUGCUUGUAUUUGUAUUAUUGUAUGUUUGUAUGUAUGUUAAUGUGCAGCAUACUUGUGUAUGAUAUUGAAUGCAAUUCACUGUAAAGAUAUCUAUA
This is a non-coding RNA of Drosophila virilis, 451 nucleotides long. Lineage: Eukaryota; Metazoa; Arthropoda; Insecta; Diptera; Drosophilidae. The record is from RefSeq and is a predicted model, not a curated record.